Molecule: long non-coding RNA, 303 nt
Organism: Haliotis rubra (blacklip abalone)
Lineage: Eukaryota; Metazoa; Mollusca; Gastropoda; Lepetellida; Haliotidae
Exons: 3
Source: RefSeq, a predicted model, not a curated record
CCCGGGGCUUUACGCUGUCCCAAUACAGGGACGAGGCCUCUCACCAGACACCAAAAUCGUCUUACUAUUAAUGGCGUCAGGAGAAAGAGACUCAGACACGUCGAUGAGCCCAAGAGUUCCUCUUCAAGGCUGAUCACCAGUGAUAUAUCUUACAGUCACAGACCUAUUGGCGUUGUCGUGCCAUGGAUCAGGUCACCUACUCAAAACACAAAUAGUUCAGAUGUUCAACAUGAUUUUGAAAGAGGAUUCAGAAGAACAUAAUUUAUGAUUUUUCUUUUUCAAUUGUAUAUUUUAUAUCACCGG